This 335-nucleotide ribosomal RNA is filed under the name uncultured Anoxybacillus sp. RNAcentral's name for it is "bacterial SSU rRNA". It matches the Rfam family "Bacterial small subunit ribosomal RNA", at positions 1047 to 1382 of the family's 1533-position model. The record is from RNAcentral. Lineage: Bacteria; Bacillati; Bacillota; Bacilli; Caryophanales; Anoxybacillaceae.
GGUUGUCGUCAGCUCGUGUCGUGAGAUGUCGGGUUAAGUCCCGCAACGAGCGCAACCCUCGACCUUAGUUGCCAGCAUUCAGUUGGGCACUCUAAGGUGACUGCCGGCUAAAAGUCGGAGGAAGGUGGGGGAUGACGUCAAAUCAUCAUGCCCCUUAUGACCUGGGCUACACACGUGCUACAAUGGGCGGUACAAAGGGUCGCGAACCCGCGAGGGGGAGCCAAUCCCAAAAAGCCGCUCUCAGUUCGGAUUGCAGGCUGCAACUCGCCUGCAUGAAGCCGGAAUCGCUAGUAAUCGCGGAUCAGCAUGCCGCGGUCGAAUACGUUCCGGGCCUU